This 450-nucleotide ribosomal RNA is filed under the name uncultured bacterium. Its description in RNAcentral is "partial 16S ribosomal RNA". It matches the Rfam family "Bacterial small subunit ribosomal RNA", at positions 354 to 796 of the family's 1533-position model. The record is from RNAcentral.
GUGGGGAAUUUUGGACAAUGGGCGCAAGCCUGAUCCAGCAAUGCCGCGUGCAGGAAGAAGGCCUUCGGGUUGUAAACUGCUUUUGUACGGAACGAAACGGCUCUGGUUAAUACCCGGGGCUAAUGACGGUACCGUAAGAAUAAGCACCGGCUAACUACGUGCCAGCAGCCGCGGUAAUACGUAGGGUGCAAGCGUUAAUCGGAAUUACUGGGCGUAAAGCGUGCGCAGGCGGUUGUGUAAGACAGGCGUGAAAUCCCCGGGCUCAACCUGGGAAUUGCGCUUGUGACUGCACAGCUGGAGUGCGGCAGAGGGGGAUGGAAUUCCGCGUGUAGCAGUGAAAUGCGUAGAUAUGCGGAGGAACACCGAUGGCGAAGGCAAUCCCCUGGGCCUGCACUGACGCUCAUGCACGAAAGCGUGGGGAGCAAACAGGAUUAGAAACCCGUGUAGUCC